UCCUGACAAAAGAGUGGCGCCAAUCAUAUCCCAAUGCCACAGCCUAUCUUCAUUUUGGGAAUUAUAAUUUGUAAAUUUGGCUGUCACAGCCUAUCCAUCCAGACAAAUUCAAAAAUUUUCACCAACAACCAUCAACAGACCUUUUGCACGUAAUCUUGUUCAAGUAAAACGAUGGCACACACAUGAAUUUCACAAUAAGAAUGCAAGAAAACAUAAUAUAUACUCAAGCUUCAUUCCAAUACCAUAUUUCACAUAACUAAUAAGAGAAAUAAUUAGACACAUCAGUUCCUUUUCAGAUAGAACUUCACCAUGAUAAAUUAGAAAGUACAAUCUUUUGGCAGAUUAAGAAAUUAUUUUCUAUUUUCGCAUGUACUUUGUUUUGAUCUUUUCGCUGUUUGGCAAAGUAAGUAGAUAUUGGGCCUCAUAGAGAAACAAUAACUACCAUACACAAGAAAAAUAGCUUAACAUGUAGGUUAAUAUGAAAAGGAUAUAAACACAUAUAUAAGAAUGCAUUUCAUUAUGAGAGAUCCUUCAUAGUCAGAGAAAAGCUAGCCUAUAUGCACAUAUCACAACAGAGUUCUUUGACAAUGCAUAUCAAAAUAUUAGAAAAAUCAAAAAUAAAAAAUUUCUAAUUGAAAUUUUAAAUAAGCAAGCCAAAUAAUUGGCUCAAAUGCAUAUGGUAAGGAAGUUUCUUAUCAAAAGGCCACUAGUUAGUUCUAUAGCUCAUACUGUUGUUAGUGAUCCUUAUCUUAAUACAUGAAGUUCACUUAGCUGAAAUAUCUUUUUAGAUGAAUGUAAGUUGUUAAAUACUUUAGUCAGAUACGAUUUAGGUGAAACACAUAAUACAAAAACUGUUAUCUUUUAAUUGAAAGGAUUUAGAACCACAUGAAAAGAGAGCUACAGUAACAAAUUACAAAAACUACAAUAACAAAAGAAAAUAACACAAAAUGUCUGGCUAAAUAGUUGAAGCAGGACCAAGAUGAAUAGAUAUAAACAACAAAAUUAGGUCUUCCUCCUUGCCUCAAUACCUGGGAUAAGGCUCAUCGAGGAAUCAGACAAAAUAAAGAAAAGCAGAAAAGGAAACAUCUUAAAGGUGAUGAGUACACCAACAACCUCUAAUUGAGUGAAUAAAACUAUGAAAAUAGUCGUAUCUGAAAGUUGUCCGAUAAGUUAUCUAGAAUGUGGAAGUAACUUAGCCAGGACUGGUAGCUUUAAUGGACAUCCAAUACUGGCCAUUGAUAAUGAUGUAGGUGACUAAGAACUGAUAAAUUUCAGUUUAUGAAUCUUUUGGACCUUACACAACUUCUUUUAUGAAUCAUGCUUGGUCAUUUAACAACAUUCCCAGUGUGAUCCCACAAGUGGGAAGCUUGGUCAUUGUAAAAAUUAAAAAUCACUUCAAAAGUUGUACUAAAUAAGAAUACCAUUACUUACAUAAGGCCUGUGCAACAGUAAGUCUAGUACGCAGAUCUUUCACUAAUAAUUUCUUAACAAAAUCUUUAGCACUGUUGCUUAUAGUUGGCCAUGGCUUGCGACAAAAAUCAGGCUUGUUUCAUAGGACAUUAGCAUAGUAGAACCGGAGUUAGAAAAAAUAAUAAAUCAGGUAAAGAAGAAAGAUUUUACCAAACGUGAAAAAAAAUAAGUUAAAUCUCUCAAAGGAAUAAACCAAAAAUUUUGAGUAGACUGCAGAGCAAGCUACUCAAGGACUAAACUAAAUACAACAAAACUAUACACACAACCUAAUGCUCUUUUGCAUUUAAGAAGAAUUGCCAACAUCAUAAACACACUGCUACCUUAAUUUUGUAAUGUCAACUAAUCACCUCUUUCCCUCAUAUUACCUCAUCUCACUAGCUGCUUUCUUCUCAUUUCGUUUC
Molecule: long non-coding RNA, 1871 nt
Filed under: Capsicum annuum
Lineage: Eukaryota; Viridiplantae; Streptophyta; Magnoliopsida; Solanales; Solanaceae
Description: long non-coding RNA (CANN_LNC014266)
Source: RNAcentral